GGAGCUAACGCGUUAAGUCGACCGCCUGGGGAGUACGGCCGCAAGGUUAAAACUCAAAUGAAUUGACGGGGGCCCGCACAAGCGGUGGAGCAUGUGGUUUAAUUCGAUGCAACGCGAAGAACCUUACCUACUCUUGACAUCCAGCGAACUUUCCAGAGAUGGAUUGGUGCCUUCGGGAACGCUGAGACAGGUGCUGCAUGGCUGUCGUCAGCUCGUGUUGUGAAAUGUUGGGUUAAGUCCCGCAACGAGCGCAACCCUUAUCCUUUGUUGCCAGCGAUUCGGUCGGGAACUCAAAGGAGACUGCCGGUGAUAAACCGGAGGAAGGUGGGGAUGACGUCAAGUCAUCAUGGCCCUUACGAGUAGGGCUACACACGUGCUACAAUGGCGCAUACAAAGAGAAGCGACCUCGCGAGAGCAAGCGGACCUCAUAAAGUGCGUCGUAGUCCGGAUCGGAGUCUGCAACUCGACUCCGUGAAGUCGGAAUCGCUAGUAAUCGUGGAUCAGAAUGCCACGGUGAAUACGUUCCCGGGCCUUGUACACACCGCCCGUCACACCAUGGGAGUGGGUUGCAAAAGAAGUAGGUAGCUUAACCUCUCGGGAGGGCGCU
Molecule: ribosomal RNA, 607 nt
Filed under: Pantoea sp.
Lineage: Bacteria; Pseudomonadati; Pseudomonadota; Gammaproteobacteria; Enterobacterales; Erwiniaceae
Description: bacterial SSU rRNA
Rfam family: Bacterial small subunit ribosomal RNA
Source: RNAcentral